RNAcentral lists this long non-coding RNA (262 nucleotides) under Mytilus galloprovincialis (Mediterranean mussel). The record is from RNAcentral. Lineage: Eukaryota; Metazoa; Mollusca; Bivalvia; Mytilida; Mytilidae.
GAAUCCUGUGGUCACCUUCUUUCUAUGUCCAUACUCAUUGUAUCAAAUAAAUGCAACAGUAGCGUACCGUUGUCCAAAAGUCAUAAAUUGAUUGAGAGAAAACAAAUCCGGGUUACAAACUAAAAAAUAAAAAGGGAAACACAUCAACUAUGAGAGGAAAACAACGAAACUAUAGAAACACUGAAGUGCAACACAAAACAAACGACAAUGAACAUACAUAGAAACGAACUGUUAGAUAACAACUGCCAUAUUUCUGGUAUGU